Molecule: ribosomal RNA, 835 nt
Filed under: uncultured Bacteroidota bacterium
Lineage: Bacteria; Pseudomonadati; Bacteroidota
Description: bacterial SSU rRNA
Rfam family: Bacterial small subunit ribosomal RNA
Source: RNAcentral
AGUCGAGGGGCAUCACAGAUUAGUUUACUAAUUGGGUGGCGACCGGCGCACGGGUGCGUAACGCGUAUGCAACCUACCUUGUACUGGGGUAUAGCCCGGAGAAAUUCGGAUUAAUCCCCCAUAGUAUUAAUUGCUCGCAUGAGUUAUUAAUUAAAGGUUACGGUACAAGAUGGGCAUGCGUCCUAUUAGCUAGAUGGUGGGGUAACGGCUCACCAUGGCUACGAUAGGUAGGGGGCCUGAGAGGGUGGUCCCCCACGCUGGUACUGAGACACGGACCAGACUCCUACGGGAGGCAGCAGUGAGGAAUAUUGGUCAAUGGGCGCAAGCCUGAACCAGCCAUGCCGCGUGCAGGAAGAAUGCCCUAUGGGUUGUAAACUGCUUUUAUUUAGGAAUAAACUCUUGUACGUGUACAAGCCUGAAGGUACUAAAUGAAUAAGCACCGGCUAACUCCGUGCCAGCAGCCGCGGUAAUACGGAGGGUGCAAGCGUUAUCCGGAAUCAUUGGGUUUAAAGGGUCCGCAGGCGGAUUUAUAAGUCAGUGGUGAAAUCCUAUCGCUUAACGAUAGAACUGCCAUUGAUACUGUAAGUCUUGAAUUCGGUCGAAGUGGGCGGAAUGUGUAGUGUAGCGGUGAAAUGCAUAGAUAUUACACAGAACACCGAUAGCGAAGGCAGCUCACUAGGCCUGGAUUGACGCUCAGGGACGAAAGCGUGGGGAUCAAACAGGAUUAGAUACCCUGGUAGUCCACGCUGUAAACGAUGAUUACUCGUUUUCGGCGAUAUACAGUCGGAGACUAAGCGAAAGUGAUAAGUAAUCCACCUGGGGAGUACGAUCGCAA